GACCCCUGUCAACAGGUAAAGAGACACCUUGUUGAUGAUGUCAUUCUUAUAUCAGUCAGGGGCAGAGCGGACGACAGUCCUAUCUUCAUCCUAGCCUGAUGCCUGGCUUGGUGGCCAAAGCUGUUUUAUGCCUAGGACUUAUCA
Molecule: small nucleolar RNA, 144 nt
Organism: Apodemus sylvaticus (European woodmouse)
Lineage: Eukaryota; Metazoa; Chordata; Mammalia; Rodentia; Muridae
Product: small nucleolar RNA SNORA48
Exons: 1
Source: RefSeq, a predicted model, not a curated record